RNAcentral lists this ribosomal RNA (292 nucleotides) under uncultured bacterium. RNAcentral describes it as "partial 16S ribosomal RNA". It matches the Rfam family "Bacterial small subunit ribosomal RNA", at positions 505 to 796 of the family's 1533-position model. The record is from RNAcentral.
GUGUCAGCAGCCGCGGUAAUACAGAGGUGGCAAGCGUUGUUCGGAAUUACUGGGCGUAAAGGGCGCGUAGGCGGUUCGCUAAGUCCCGCGUGAAAUCCCCCGGCUCAACCGGGGAACUGCGCGGGAAACUGGUGGGCUUGAGUUCGGGAGAGGGAAGCGGAAUUCCGGGUGUAGCGGUGAAAUGCGUAGAUAUCCGGAGGAACACCGGUGGCGAAGGCGGCUUCCUGGACCGACACUGACGCUGAGGCGCGAAAGCUAGGGGAGCAAACGGGAUUAGAUACCCUGGUAGUCC